RNAcentral lists this ribosomal RNA (222 nucleotides) under uncultured bacterium. Its description in RNAcentral is "partial 16S ribosomal RNA". It matches the Rfam family "Bacterial small subunit ribosomal RNA", at positions 524 to 745 of the family's 1533-position model. The record is from RNAcentral.
UACGAAGGGGGCUAGCGUUGUUCGGAAUCACUGGGCGUAAAGCGCACGUAGGCGGAUGUGUCAGUCAGGGGUGAAAUCCCGGGGCUCAACCUCGGAACUGCCUUUGAUACAGCACGUCUCGAGUCCGGAAGAGGUGGGUGGAAUUCCUAGUGUAGAGGUGAAAUUCGUAGAUAUUAGGAAGAACACCGGUGGCGAAGGCGGCCCACUGGUCCGGUACUGACG